CCAAUAAGGUCCGCCUCUGGAGAGUCCGCCGCUGAUUGGCUGGGCGGAGCGGCACCUGGUGCUGCAGCAGCUGUUCCUGUUCAUUCAGAGUAGAAGAGUGCUCAGUCAGAGGCAGUGAGAGCAGCGUGUGAGCCGGUAAGCAAUGGAGGAAAAUAAAGAUAUAAAUGCAAAAAGGAAGGCAGGAGCAGAAGCAGUAGCCAAAGUAGCAAGGA
This is a long non-coding RNA of Nanorana parkeri, 212 nucleotides long. RefSeq lists it as uncharacterized. The transcript has 2 exons. The record is from RefSeq and is a predicted model, not a curated record. Lineage: Eukaryota; Metazoa; Chordata; Amphibia; Anura; Dicroglossidae.